This 484-nucleotide ribosomal RNA is filed under the name uncultured Acidobacteriota bacterium. Its description in RNAcentral is "bacterial SSU rRNA". It matches the Rfam family "Bacterial small subunit ribosomal RNA", at positions 30 to 514 of the family's 1533-position model. Lineage: Bacteria; Pseudomonadati; Acidobacteriota. The record is from RNAcentral.
CGAACGCUGGCGGCGUGCUUAACACAUGCAAGUCGAGCGAGAAAGUGGAGCUUGCUCCGCGAGUAAAGUGGCAGACGGGUGAGUAACACGUGAACAACCUACCCUUGAGUGGGGAAUAACACCGCGAAAGCGGUGCUAAUACCGCAUAACAUUUCCGAAUCGCAUGAUUUGGCAAUCAAAAGCGCAAGUUGCUUGAGGAGGGGUUCGCGGCUGAUUAGCUAGUUGGUGAGGUAACGGCCCACCAAGGCAACGAUCAGUAGCCGGCCUGAGAGGGCGAACGGCCACACUGGAACUGAGACACGGUCCAGACUCCUACGGGAGGCAGCAGUGGGGAAUUUUGCGCAAUGGGCGAAAGCCUGACGCAGCAACGCCGCGUGGAGGAUGAAGGCUCUCGGGUCGUAAACUCCUGUCAGUGGGGACGAAUGCUUCGCAAGAGGUUUGACUGUACCCAUUGAGGAAGCCACGGCUAACUCCGUGCCAGCAG